RNAcentral lists this ribosomal RNA (301 nucleotides) under uncultured bacterium. Its description in RNAcentral is "partial 16S ribosomal RNA". It matches the Rfam family "Bacterial small subunit ribosomal RNA", at positions 509 to 807 of the family's 1533-position model. The record is from RNAcentral.
CAGCCGCCACGGUAAUACGAAGGGUGCAAGCGUUACUCGGAAUUACUGGGCGUAAAGCGUGCGUAGGUGGUGGUUUAAGUCCGUUGUGAAAGCCCUGGGCUCAACCUGGGAAUUGCGGUGGAUACUGGGUCACUAGAGUGUGGUAGAGGAUAGUGGAAUUUCCGGUGUAGCAGUGAAAUGCGUAGAGAUCGGAAGGAACAUCUGUGGCGAAGGCGACUAUCUGGGCCAACACUGACACUGAGGCACGAAAGCGUGGGGAGCAAACAGGAUUAGAUACCCGCGUAGUCCCUGUCUCUUAUAC